This 779-nucleotide ribosomal RNA is filed under the name uncultured Neocallimastigales. RNAcentral's name for it is "partial large subunit ribosomal RNA". It matches the Rfam family "Eukaryotic large subunit ribosomal RNA", at positions 26 to 644 of the family's 3401-position model. Lineage: Eukaryota; Fungi; Neocallimastigomycota; Neocallimastigomycetes; Neocallimastigales. The record is from RNAcentral.
CGUCUAUAUACGUAUAGCAUAUCAAUAAGCGGAGGAAAAGAAACUAACAAGGAUUCCCUUAGUAACGGCGAGUGAAGCGGGAAGAGCUCAAAUUUGAAAUCUUCAAGGUUCUACCUUGACGAAUUGUAGUUUAAAGAAGUGUUUUCUGUUAGAUGAGUAGCAAAAGUUCCUUGGAAUGGGACAUCAUAGAGGGUGAGAAUCCCGUAUUUGGUUAUUCCUUCUAGCUUUGUGAUACACUUUCAAAGAGUCGGAUUGUUUGGGAAUGCAGUCCAAAAUGGGUGGUAAAUUUCAUCUAAAGCUAAAUAUUGGCGAGAGACCGAUAGCGAACAAGUACCGUGAGGGAAAGAUGAAAAGAACUUUGAAAAGAGAGUUAAACAGUACGUGAAAUUGUCAAAAGGGAAGCGUUUGACACCAGUGUUGUUUUUCCGAAAAUCAAUUACGAAUGGUUUGAUUUUUGAGUAGUUAUGACCUUCAUCAGCUUUCUCACUUUCUUUACGAAGCUCUCUUAAUGCACUUUUCGGUUAACAAGUCAACAUCAGUUUCUUUUGUUGUAAAAGGGUAUGAGGAAGGUGGCUUUCUUUUCGGAGAAAGUGUUUAUAGCCUUGUGCCUCUGCAAUCGGAGAGAUUGAGGUCUGCAGCGUAGAUCCUUCGGGGUUAGAUACAUUUGUGCUAAGUUAUAGCCUUUCAUAGACAACUUGUUGACUAUGAUUAGUCAUUGUAGCUUACUCGCUUACUGCUAUUUUACCUACGCUUAGGAUGUUGACUGAUAUGUAGUCGUA